Non-coding RNA from Coffea arabica (coffee), 992 nucleotides. The record is from RefSeq and is a predicted model, not a curated record. NCBI's taxonomy places the organism in Eukaryota, Viridiplantae, Streptophyta, Magnoliopsida, Gentianales, Rubiaceae.
GAAAUGAACAACAAAAACAAACAGAUACUGAUUUAGCUUUCUGAAUAAUUGACUAAACAAAAAUGUCAUGCAAUUUCCUGUUCGCCUCGUGAUUUGCUAUGUGAAGUCCUGAGUCUGAGUUUUGUUUGGGAUGACUUUACUUUUGAAAGUCUUUCUUGCCUUGAAAGUAUAUCAACUGAUUAUUGGAACAACAACAGAGUAGGUAUGCCAAGUGCCAAGUUGGAUGCAGAGUCGGCCCUUUCUUCCUCUUUAUCACGAUUGAAAGUUAUAGUCGUAAACAUUUUAGGAGUUUCCCAGAGCUGUUGGUCAUCAAAUUGGUUUUUUGAUUCUAAGAGUUCGCCAUGGAAGAUGUACUGUUCAUGCAGUGAAGCUGCACAGACUUGUUAUAGUAUCUUCUAACACAAUCAAGUCUAAGCUGCAAGUUUUGAAGCAUAUUGCUAUGGUUAGUCAAGACUGCCAAGCAUACUGGUUGGCUGCUGCUACUUGCUGCAAUUAUUUCAUUCGCUAUGAUGAAGGCUAUUAAGCUCAUUUUGCCUUCUAUACUUGGUUGCUCCUCUCUUCAUUGAUUUUGCACUCAGAGAUCAACAUUAACCUUGAUAGCUCGGUCUUACUAUCAUUUGUAAUGAAAGUCCUAUGAUCCCUUGCUGAACCAGAUCCUGUUUCAAUCAGAUCAGAUGAAAACAUCCGGGAUGGAAUUCCCUUUUGCUCUCUGCCUCGGAUGGCCAAAGCCUGAGAUCUUCCCUGUCUGUCUGGUGCUGUUAAACUGUCCAACCAAUUCAGCAAUUUGUAGACAUGUUAAUGAGGUGCUAUUUUACUUCUUUUGGAACUCAAUUUGCCAUAUCUUCCAUACUGCUUGUAGUUCAAAGCAGCAGAAAGAUGUGGAUUAGCUGAACCCUGAUAGGUGCUUGCAUCCUUCUUGAAGUUGUAUCUUAGCUCUAUAACAGGCAGCAUAUUUUUUCUCACUGUUCUGCAGUCGACUACAAGUUGUGCCC